RNAcentral lists this ribosomal RNA (22 nucleotides) under Mycolicibacterium houstonense. RNAcentral's name for it is "partial 23S ribosomal RNA". Lineage: Bacteria; Bacillati; Actinomycetota; Actinomycetes; Mycobacteriales; Mycobacteriaceae. RNAcentral also lists the same sequence under 2 other names. The record is from RNAcentral.
UUGUAAGUGUUUAAGGGCACAU